UGGCUCAGGAUGAACGCUGGCGGCGUGCCUAAUACAUGCAAGUCGAACGCUUCACUUCGGUGAAGAGUGGCGAACGGGUGAGUAAUACAUAAGUAACCUGGCAUCUACAGGGGGAUAACUGAUGGAAACGUCAGCUAAGACCGCAUAGGUGUAGAGAUCGCAUGAACUCUAUAUGAAAAGUGCUACGGGACUGGUAGAUGAUGGACUUAUGGCGCAUUAGCUUGUUGGUAGGGUAACGGCCUACCAAGGCGACGAUGCGUAGCCGACCUGAGAGGGUGACCGGCCACACUGGGACUGAGACACGGCCCAGACUCCUACGGGAGGCAGCAGUAGGGGAUUUUCGGCAAUGGGGGAAACCCUGACCGAGCAACGCCGCGUGAAGGAAGAAGUAAUUCGUUAUGUAAACUUCUGUCAUAGAGGAAGAACGGUGGAUAUAGGGAAUGAUAUCCAAGUGACGGUACUCUAUAAGAAAGCCACGGCUAACUACGUGCCAGCAGCCGCGGUAAUACGUAGGUGGCGAGCGUUAUCCGGAAUUAUUGGGCGUAAAGAGGGAGCAGGCGGCACUAAGGGUCUGUGGUGAAAGAUCGAAGCUUAACUUCGGUAAGCCAUGGAAACCGUAGAGCUAGAGUGUGUGAGAGGAUCGUGGAAUUCCAUGUGUAGCGGUGAAAUGCGUAGAUAUAUGGAGGAACACCAGUGGCGAAGGCGACGAUCUGGCGCAUAACUGACGCUCAGUCCCGAAAGCGUGGGGAGCAAAUAGGAUUAGAUACCCUAGUAGUCCACGCCGUAAACGAUGAGUACUAAGUGUUGGGUGUCAAAGCUCAGUGCUGCAGUUAACGCAAUAAGUACUCCGCCUGAGUAGUACGUUCGCAAGAAUGAAACUCAAAGGAAUUGACGGGGGCC
This 900-nucleotide ribosomal RNA is filed under the name human gut metagenome. Its description in RNAcentral is "bacterial SSU rRNA". It matches the Rfam family "Bacterial small subunit ribosomal RNA", at positions 20 to 921 of the family's 1533-position model. The record is from RNAcentral.